This 1267-nucleotide long non-coding RNA is filed under the name Sus scrofa (pig). RNAcentral describes it as "lncRNA (ENSSSCG00030070751.1)". Lineage: Eukaryota; Metazoa; Chordata; Mammalia; Artiodactyla; Suidae. The record is from RNAcentral.
GUCUGGCCAGGGGUUUGUCAAUAUUGUUUACCUUUUCAAAGAACCAGCUCUUGGUUUUAUUAAUUUUCUCUAUUGUUUUUUGAGUCUCUAUUUUAUUGAUUUCUUCUUUGAUCUUUAUAAUUUCAUUCCUUCUGCUGACUUUCGGUCUUUUUUGUUCUUUUUCUAAGUCGUUUAGGUGGAGGGUUAAUUUAUCAAUUUUGUAUCUCUCUUCUUUUUUGAGGAGGGCCUCUAUUGCUAUAAAUUUCCCUCUGAGCACUGCUUUCGCAGCAUCCCAUAGAUUUUGAGAGGUGUGUCUUCAUUAUCAUUUGUUUCAAGGUAUUUUUAAAUUUCCUUCUUGAUUUCCUCAUUGACCCAUUGGUUUUUGAGUAGCAUGUUGUUUAGUCUCCAUGUAGUCAGUUUUUUUCUCAUUUCUUCUCCCGUGGUUGGUUUCUAGUUUCAUGCCAUUGUGGUCAGAGAAGAUACUUGAAAUAAUUUCUAUACUCUUAAAUGUGUUGAGGUUAGUUUUGUGCCCCAGUAUGUGGUCAAUCCUUGAGAAUGUUCCAAGUGCACUUCAAAAGAAUGUAUAUUCUGAUUUUUUUUGGAAGUAAUGUCCUGAAAAUGUCUAUCAAGUCUAACUUUUCUAUUGUGUCAUUUAGGAUCUCUAUUGCCUUAUUGAUUUUCUGUACAGAGGCCCUGUCCAUUGAUGUGAGUAGGGUGUUAAAUUCGCCUACUGUUAUUGUAUUCCCAUCAAUUUCUCCUUUUAUGUCUUUUAGUAUUUGUUGUAGGUAUCUGGGUGCUCCCAUAUUAGGGGCAUAUAUGCUGAAAAUUGUAAUAUCCUCUUCUUGAAUGGAUCCUUUUAUCAUGAAGUAGUGUCCUUCUUUGUCCUUUUUUAUGGCCUUCUUUUUAAAGUCUAUUUUGUCUGAAAUGAGUAUUGCAACUCGUGCUUUCCUGUCUUAUCCAUUGGCAUGAAAUAUCUUUUCCCAUCCCCUCACUUUCCAUCUAUAUGUGUCCUUUGCCCUAAGUUGAGUCACUUGUAAACAACAUAUUGUAGGCUCUUGCUUUUUAAUUCAAUUUGACACUCUCUGUCCAUUGAUUGGAGCAUUCAGUCCACUGGCAUUUAAGGUGAUUAUUGAUAGAUAUGUAUUUAUUGCCAUUUUAAACCUUGUUUUCCAGUUGAUUGUGUGUUUUUCCGUUGUUCCUUUCUUUCUUUGGUUGGAUGAUUUCCUUUUAUUUUAUGUGUGUCCUUUUCUUUUCAGUUUUUGUGAAUGUAAUAUUUGUUUUUGAUUUG